GACGAACGCUGGCGGCGUGCUUAACACAUGCAAGUCGAACGGAAAGGCCCUGCUUUUGUGGGGUGCUCGAGUGGCGAACGGGUGAGUAACACGUGAGUAACCUGCCCUUGACUUUGGGAUAACUUCAGGAAACUGGGGCUAAUACCGGAUAGGAGCUCCUGCUGCAUGGUGGGGGUUGGAAAGUUUCGGCGGUUGGGGAUGGACUCGCGGCUUAUCAGCUUGUUGGUGGGGUAGUGGCUUACCAAGGCUUUGACGGGUAGCCGGCCUGAGUGGGUGACCGGCCACAUUGGGACUGAGAUACGGCCCAGACUCCUACGGGAGGCAGCAGUGGGGAAUAUUGCACAAUGGGCGGAAGCCUGAUGCAGCAACGCCGCGUGCGGGAUGACGGCCUUCGGGUUGUAAACCGCUUUCGCCUGUGACGAAGCGUGAGUGACGGUAAUGGGUAAAGAAGCACCGGCUAACUACGUGCCAGCAGCCGCGGUGAUACGUAGGGUGCGAGCGUUGUCCGGAUUUAUUGGGCGUAAAGGGCUCGUAGGUGGUUGAUCGCGUCGGAAGUGUAAUCUUGGGGCUUAACCCUGAGCGUGCUUUCGAUACGGGUUGACUUGAGGAAGGUAGGGGAGAAUGGAAUUCCUGGUGGAGCGGUGGAAUGCGCAGAUAUCAGGAGGAACACCAGUGGCGAAGGCGGUUCUCUGGGCCUUUCCUGACGCUGAGGAGCGAAAGCGUGGGGAGCGAACAGGCUUAGAUACCCUGGUAGUCCACGCUGUAAACGGUGGGUACUAGGUGUGGGGUCCAUUCCACGGGUUCCGUGCCGUAGCUAACGCUUUAAGUACCCCGCCUGGGGAGUACGGCCGCAAGGCUAAAACUCAAAGGAAUUGACGGGGCCCCGCACAAGCGGCGGAGCAUGCGGAUUAAUUCGAUGCAACGCGUAGAACCUUACCUGGGUUUGACAUGGAUCGGGAGUGCUCAGAGAUGGGUGUGCCUCUUUUGGGGUCGGUUCACAGGUGGUGCAUGGCUGUCGUCAGCUCGUGUCGUGAGAUGUUGGGUUAAGUCCCGCAACGAGCGCAACCCUUGUUCACUGUUGCCAGCACGUUAUGGUGGGGACUCAGUGGAGACCGCCGGGGUCAACUCGGAGGAAGGUGGGGAUGACGUCAAGUCAUCAUGCCCCUUAUGUCCAGGGCUUCACGCAUGCUACAAUGGCUGGUACAGAGAGUGGCGAGCCUGUGAGGGUGAGCGAAUCUCGGAAAGCCGGUCUCAGUUCGGAUUGGGGUCUGCAACUCGACCUCAUGAAGUCGGAGUCGCUAGUAAUCGCAGAUCAGCAACGCUGCGGUGAAUACGUUCCCGGGGCU
This 1346-nucleotide ribosomal RNA is filed under the name uncultured bacterium. Its description in RNAcentral is "partial 16S ribosomal RNA". It matches the Rfam family "Bacterial small subunit ribosomal RNA", at positions 28 to 1381 of the family's 1533-position model. The record is from RNAcentral.